GUCAGUCAGAAAAGCUAGACAGCCCGAGUGAUUCCCUUCUUCUGAGAUAGCUCUUGGGUUCGCAGUUGCAGGCGGGAAACCUAUUCAGUCGGAUGUACACAAAUCUCUCUGGAGGGCUGCGGCGAAGGGACCUUGGAGCUGGCAGAGGCAUUUCCUGUCUGCGGAGGAUCUUGACUUUGGAGCAUCCGGCCGUCGCCGCGAGCAGCCGAACACUUUCCUGCGUCGCUACUUAAAAAAAAAAAAAAAAAGUCACUGCCAGUAUCAGGCGACUUUCCACAUGAAAGCCAAUGAGGCCGCUUCCCACUUUAAAAACAUUUGUUUAAAACAUAUUUUCUAAGCAUUCCUUAGACUCCUUUUUAUUUUGGAAGGGCAGAGGACAAUACCAGCCUCUGGCACACAGACGAUGGUUGAGAAAUGCUUGUUGGCUGGGUGUGGUGGUGCAAGCCUGUAAUCACAGCACUUUGGGAAGUCAAGAAUUGCAGCCAUUUGCCUGGUUAUGUGCAAGGAAGGAAAACCCAAAAUAUUACCUAUGAGAGAGGAGAUGCUGAGCUCUGACUGGAACCAUGAGAAGCUGUAACCCUCUUCAUCUCUUUUGGGCCAAGGAUCUGCCCUCUUCUGACACUGGGCAGAGUAAGAAUGGGAGGUGGCAGUUACAGUGUAUUUUUGCUUUGUUUAUGUCUGGUGAGUCAGCAAAUCUCAGUCAGAGGAAAUAGAAACCAAUCUCAGUUAUACCUUUGUAACUAGCAAAAUGUCUUUUGAUUGGACUAAGAGACCUCCUCGGGUUCACAUUCUCUACUUUCAGAGUCUUGCUGGCAUCUUCUGGGUACCAAGGCACUCAAUUUUGGCUAUGGACAUGGAGGCUGCGUUCCAGAAUCAUUUCGGUGAUUUUUAUCCUUCUCCUUUGAGCUACAUUUUUUUUUUUUUUUUUUUUUAAGACGGAGUUUUUCUCUGUCAUCCAGGCUGGCAUGCAGUGGCACGAUCUUGGCUCACUGCAACCUCCACCUCCCGGGUUCAAACGAUUCUCCUGCCUCAGCUUCCCAAGUAGCUGGGAUUACAGGCGCCUGCCACCACGCCCAGCUAAUUUUUUUAUUUUUUGUAGAGACAGGGUUUCACCAUGUUGGCCAGGCUGGCCUCGAAAUUCCUGACCUCAGGUGAUCCACCCGCCUUGGCCUCCCAAAGUGCUGGGAUUACAAGCGUGAACCACCGCGCCCGGCCCCUUGAGCCAUUCUUAUUUUCUCUAUAACAACUCCAAAAUGAAAGUUCAAGCAAAUGGCAUUCCCCCUCUGCUUCCCUCCUUCCCCUAUUCCCUAUCCCAUGAUGAACACAGCAGUUACAAUGAUACCUAAACUGGGUGUUUAUUAGGCUGAGGAAUGUAUUUGCUUUCAUUUUUAAUAAUAGAGAAUCCCGGACAGCUAUUAUUCAGAUGUAUUCCUAAUUGUUUUGUUUCCAGGUAUUAUUGUAUAUGGACUUAAAAAUUUUCCUUUCCAAUUUCUUGUUGCUAGUGUCUAGAAAUAAAAUUGAUUUUUGUGUGUUGACUUUGC
Molecule: long non-coding RNA, 1541 nt
Filed under: Macaca mulatta (Rhesus monkey)
Lineage: Eukaryota; Metazoa; Chordata; Mammalia; Primates; Cercopithecidae
Description: lncRNA (ENSMMUG00000049508.1)
Source: RNAcentral